RNAcentral lists this ribosomal RNA (447 nucleotides) under uncultured bacterium. RNAcentral describes it as "partial 16S ribosomal RNA". It matches the Rfam family "Bacterial small subunit ribosomal RNA", at positions 331 to 792 of the family's 1533-position model. The record is from RNAcentral.
CCAGACUCCUACGGGAGGCAGCAGUGGGGAAUAUUGGGCAAUGGGCGCAAGCCUGACCCAGCAACGCCGCGUGAAGGAAGAAGGCUUUCGGGUUGUAAACUUCUUUUCUGAGGGACGAAGCAAGUGACGGUACCUUAGGAAUAAGCCACGGCUAACUACGUGCCAGCAGCCGCGGUAAUACGUAGGUGGCAAGCGUUAUCCGGAUUUACUGGGUGUAAAGGGCGUGUAGGCGGGAAAGCAAGUCAGAUGUGAAAACCACGGGCUCAACCUGUGGCCUGCAUUUGAAACUGUUUUUCUUGAGUACCGGAGAGGCAGACGGAAUUCCUAGUGUAGCGGUGAAAUGCGUAGAUAUUAGGAGGAACAUCAGUGGCGAAGGCGACUUUCUGGACUGUAACUGACGCUGAGGCACGAAAGUGUGGGGAGCAAACAGGAUUAGAUACCCCGGUA